RNAcentral lists this ribosomal RNA (265 nucleotides) under uncultured prokaryote. Its description in RNAcentral is "partial 16S ribosomal RNA". It matches the Rfam family "Bacterial small subunit ribosomal RNA", at positions 524 to 788 of the family's 1533-position model. The record is from RNAcentral.
UACGUAGGUGGCGAGCGUUAUCCGGAAUUAUUGGGCGUAAAGAGCGCGCAGGUGGUUGAUUAAGUCUGAUGUGAAAGCCCACGGCUUAACCGUGGAGGGUCAUUGGAAACUGGUCGACUUGAGUACAGAAGAGGGAAGUGGAAUUCCAUGUGUAGCGGUGAAAUGCGUAGAGAUAUGGAGGAACACCAGUGGCGAAAGCGGCUUCCUGGUCUGUAACUGACACUGAGGCGCGAAAGCGUGGGGAGCAAACAGGAUUAGAUACCCU